This 474-nucleotide ribosomal RNA is filed under the name uncultured bacterium. Its description in RNAcentral is "bacterial SSU rRNA". It matches the Rfam family "Bacterial small subunit ribosomal RNA", at positions 335 to 799 of the family's 1533-position model. The record is from RNAcentral.
ACUCCUACGGGAGGCAGCAGUGGGGAAUAUUGCACAAUGGGCGCAAGCCUGAUGCAGCCAUGCCGCGUGUGUGAAGAAGGCCUUCGGGUUGUAAAGCACUUUCAGUUGUGAGGAAGGUGGUGUCGUUAAUAGCGGCAUCAUUUGACGUUAGCAACAGAAGAAGCACCGGCUAACUCCGUGCCAGCAGCCGCGGUAAUACGGAGGGUGCGAGCGUUAAUCGGAAUUACUGGGCGUAAAGCGCAUGCAGGUGGUUUGUUAAGUCAGAUGUGAAAGCCCGGGGCUCAACCUCGGAACUGCAUUUGAAACUGGCAGACUAGAGUACUGUAGAGGGGGGUAGAAUUUCAGGUGUAGCGGUGAAAUGCGUAGAGAUCUGAAGGAAUACCGGUGGCGAAGGCGGCCCCCUGGGACAGAUACUGACACUCAGAUGCGAAAGCGUGGGGAGCAAACAGGAUUAGAUACCCUGGUAGCACAGAG